This 460-nucleotide ribosomal RNA is filed under the name uncultured bacterium. RNAcentral's name for it is "partial 16S ribosomal RNA". It matches the Rfam family "Bacterial small subunit ribosomal RNA", at positions 338 to 795 of the family's 1533-position model. The record is from RNAcentral.
CCUACGGGAGGCAGCAGUGAGGAAUAUUGGUCAAUGGGCGCGAGCCUGAACCAGCCAAGUCGCGUGAGGGAUGACGGUCCUACGGAUUGUAAACCUCUUUUGCCGGGGAGCAAGCGUGCGUUCGUGAACGCGUGUCGAGAGUACCCGGAGAAAAAGCAUCGGCUAACUCCGUUCCAGCAGCCGCGGUAAUACGGAGGAUGCGAGCGUUAUCCGGAUUUAUUGGGUUUAAAGGGUGCGUAGGCGGGAUGCCAAGUCAGCGGUAAACAUGCGGUGCUCAACGCCGUCGAGCCGUUGAAACUGGCAUUCUUGAGUGGGCGUGAAGUAUGCGGAAUGCGUGGUGUAGCGGUGAAAUGCAUAGAGAUCACGCAGAACUCCGAUUGCGAAGGCAGCAUACCGGCGCCCGACUGACGCUGAGGCACGAAAGCGUGGGUAUCGAACAGGAUUAGAUACCCCGGUAGUC